Molecule: ribosomal RNA, 459 nt
Filed under: uncultured bacterium
Lineage: Bacteria
Description: partial 16S ribosomal RNA
Rfam family: Bacterial small subunit ribosomal RNA
Source: RNAcentral
CCUACGGGAGGCAGCAGUGAGGAAUAUUGGUCAAUGGCCGAGAGGCUGAACCAGCCAAGUCGCGUGAGGGAAGCAUGUCCUAUGGAUUGUACACCUCUUUUGGCAGGGAGCAAAGUCACCCACGUGUGGGUGUUGGAGAGUACCUGAAGAAAAAGCAUCGGCUAACUCCGUGCCAGCAGCCGCGGUAAUACGGAGGAUGCGAGCGUUAUCCGGAUUUAUUUGGUUUAAAGGGUGCGUAGGCGGGUUAUCAAGUCAGCGGUAAAAUCGUGGAGCGAAACUCCAUCCAGCCGUUGAAACUGACGAGCUUGAGUGGGCGAGAAGUAUGCGGAAUGCGUGGUGUAGCGGUGAAAUGCAUAGAUAUCACGCAGAACUCCGAUUGCGAAGGCAGCAUACCGGCGCCCGACUGACGCUGAAGCACGAAAGCGUGGGUAUCGAACAGGAUUAGAUACCCUUGUAGUC